CCUGGGCUUUCACCUCACCGGGCUGGGAUGUCGUUGGUGGUGGUGCUUACGCAGAGUGCUGAGAAAUGGGCCAAGCCUGCUGAUGAUAAGUAAUUGGUGAUAAGACAAACGCUAGAGGUUGGCACAAAACCAACCCCCAGAUCCAACACCUCCAAACUCAGGGGAAUGUCGGAUUCUGGUCCAGAUCUGCUGCCCUGCCUGGCUCUAAAGCCCUCCAGGAGCCUGUAAUGAAGAUGGUGACUCUAGCAACACAGGAUUAAUUGUGAUCUCUCCUGCAGAGGGGAUUCCUUGAAGAACUUUGUCAGCCAAAACUUUUGUAUCACAUUUUCAGACACUAUAAAAACAGUGGCGAAAAUCAGAAUAGUUCCCUGGAAAUCAACCAAGUACUGAUCUUGCAAGACAUCAGCGUUCUCAUACGGAUUUCAUUGCUUUGUGGAUACGUGUUCCCAUGCUUUGUUAUAAUCAAUGCUUGGAAAUAUUUAAUUUCUCAGUUUAAUUACGAAUGAAGGACCCUGUUUUGAUACUCAUAUGUUGAGUAAUACUUUACUCUGCAAAUAGGCUCACUGAUAUCAACACCACAGCCCUGAUGCAAAGCUCACUGAAGUCAGUGGGACUGCUAAUGAAAUAAGGUACAACAGUGGGAGGGAGGGAGGCAGAAUGGAGCCCAGAGAGAUCUGUGACUGUGGCCUGUUCUCUUCCUUCAGUUCUCUCUCCGAGGUCCCAUCUCUUAGGCUCCUUUGUUCUUUUCACAAAAUAAUCCCUGUGAGCAUUAAUCAAAGCUCUGAAUACACACUGACUCAAUGGCUGUUUAAGGAACUACUUGCUCUGGGUUUGUUCCCUCAGAGGGAGCCUCAUUAAGACCAUCAGUAUAGUUUAGAACUUAGAUACUUGCUAUUGUCUUCCUGGUCUGUUAUUUUUUAUCUCGUUUUUCACUUUAAUUCAAGAGGGCGCUAUUGAUACUCAGUGGCAGGUUUAGUAAAUACUGAUAACAUGGAUUGAUACAACACUGCAUUUG
Molecule: long non-coding RNA, 1015 nt
Organism: Mauremys reevesii (Reeves's turtle)
Lineage: Eukaryota; Metazoa; Chordata; Testudines; Geoemydidae
Exons: 3
Source: RefSeq, a predicted model, not a curated record